Molecule: ribosomal RNA, 740 nt
Filed under: uncultured archaeon
Lineage: Archaea
Description: bacterial SSU rRNA
Rfam family: Archaeal small subunit ribosomal RNA
Source: RNAcentral
AGUCUUCAGGUAAUGAAUUUCGUAUCUAGAGACCACGAUGGCGAGCAUUACCGACGGUCGACAUGAGACGAGCUGGAACGACGAAUAGAUACCCCGUAGUCCAGCGUAACUAUGCGCGUAGGUGUGCUGUACUACGAGUACGGGUGCCGAAGUGAAAACGUGAAACGUGCCGCUGGAAGUACGGUCGCAAGGCUGAAACUUAAAGGAAUUGGCGGGGAGCACCACAACGGGUGGAGCUGCGGUUUAAUUGGACUCAACGCCGGGCAGCUCACCGGAUAGGACAGCGGAAUGAUAGCCGGGCUGAAGACCUUGCUUGACCAGCUGAGAGGAGGUGCAUGGCCGUCGUCAGUUCGAACUAAGAAGCAUCCUGUUUAGUCAGGCAACGAGCGAGACCCACGCCAACAGUUGCUAGCAUGUUCUCCGGAAUGAUGAGGACAAAAAUGAAGACCGCCUCUGCUAAAGAGGAGGAAAGUUUGGGCCACGGAAGGCCAGCAUGCCCCGAAUUAUCCGGGCUACACGCGGGCUACAAUGGUCAGGACAAUGGGAAACGGCACUGAAAAGUGUAGUCAAUCUCCUAAACCUGUCCCAAGUUCGGAUUGUGGGCUGCAACUCGCCCACAUGAAGCUGGAAUCCGUAGUAAUCGCGUUUCAAAAUAGCGCGGGGAAAAAAUCCCUGCUCCUGCACACACCGUAAUCGGAUCCCCGUCCCGUCGAUGAGAGGCCUCUCCUCCUCGAGGGUUA